RNAcentral lists this ribosomal RNA (299 nucleotides) under uncultured delta proteobacterium. Its description in RNAcentral is "partial 16S ribosomal RNA". It matches the Rfam family "Bacterial small subunit ribosomal RNA", at positions 384 to 673 of the family's 1533-position model. The record is from RNAcentral. Lineage: Bacteria; Deltaproteobacteria.
UGACGCAGCAACGCUCAGUGAGUGAUAGAAGGCCUUCGGGUCGUAAAGCCCUGUCAGGAGGGAAGAACCGGUUCGAUACUAAUAAUGUCGAACCCUGACGGUACCACCAAAGGAACCACCGGUUAACUCCGUGCCAGCAGCCGCGGUAAUACGGAGGGUGCAACCGUUGUUCGGAAUUAUUGGGCGUAAAGAGCGGGUAGGCGGUUCGGUAACUCAGAUGUGAAAGUCCUGGGCUCAACCCUGGAAGUGCAUUUGAAACUACCGCACUUGAUUACGUAAAAAGAUGUUGGAAUUCCCGG